UAGUUCAUAGUAUGAGAAAGCCUAACACUCAUUAGAGCAGUGGUUCUAAACCUUCUUAAUGCUGCAGCCCUUUAGUACAGUUCCCCAUGUUGUGACCCCUAACCAUAAAAUGAUUUUGUAGCUACUUCAUAACUAGUUUUGCUACUGUUAUGAAUCACAAAUCUGAUAAUGUGACCCCCCACCCCAAGGGAUCAUUCCCUACAGGUUGAGAAUAUAAAAAAGAAUGCAGCCUCCAACCCCAAAAUAUCCUGCUUCCAGGUGUCAGACGUGGUGUACAAAGAGGAGGACAAUAUGGCUCAACUAAGAGUGGAAAAUAUAUACACACCUAGGCUUGGCUCGGUGGUAAAGUGCUUCCCUAGCAUUUGUGAGGACUUGGGUUGCAUACUCAGAUACAGGUAAAAAGGUGGGGUGGGGUGUGUAUAUAAGACAAAACUAUGAGUUCCAGGCUAGCCUAGAAUACAGAAAGCAAUACUAUUUAAAAAAUCAGACCACAGAAUUAGCAACUAAGGACUUCAAAAAUAGCUAUUAUAUUUUCAAGAUUUAAAAGAAAGUGAACAUAACGAGAAAAAUGCCUUAAAAACUCAGCAAGUGUAAUUUCUAGAAUAUACCCUGGUUGAGAGUACACAGAUUAGACAAAACAGUUAGAAAGAUGUAUAGCUUUUAACUUAUCAGAAGGAACCAAACAACAGUACAAGAAAAGGAGGUCUCUGAGAAUGGUGUGACCUGUGAGGAAUACCACAUGGUGCAGCCUGGGUAUAGAUGGGGAGGAGGCAAGGAAAAGUACAGGGGAGGAAAUCAGAAGACAGCCAAAUCAUUUUCCAUACUUACAAUUAAAACCCUAAUGCUUCACAACAAUUGGGUACAUUGAGUGUUACAGCAGCAGUUAGAGACAUACUAAAUUCACAAGCACACAUAAAGAACAGCCAACUUUUCAUCAGAGAUCACACAAAGCAAAAAAUGCCUCUGAUUUUCUAGAAUUCCAUCUGCUAAAAGAAAAGAAUCUUCAAAAUAAAAUAAAGAUGUUAGCUUUCCGUUGCUAUAAUAAAUGCCUUAAAUAAAAAGAAUUACUUUAUCUCAC
RNAcentral lists this long non-coding RNA (1078 nucleotides) under Rattus norvegicus (Norway rat). Its description in RNAcentral is "long non-coding RNA NONRATT021710". The record is from RNAcentral. Lineage: Eukaryota; Metazoa; Chordata; Mammalia; Rodentia; Muridae.